This 6025-nucleotide long non-coding RNA is filed under the name Sus scrofa (pig). Its description in RNAcentral is "lncRNA (ENSSSCG00060074746.1)". Lineage: Eukaryota; Metazoa; Chordata; Mammalia; Artiodactyla; Suidae. The record is from RNAcentral.
UUUUUUUUUUUUUUUUUUUGUCUUUUGUCCUUUUAGGUCCACUCCCGCUACACAUGGAGCUUCCCAGGCUAGGGGUCCAAUUGGAGCUAUUGCUGCCAGGCUACACCACAGCCACAGCAACACCAGAUCUGAGCCACAUCUGCGACCCACACCAUGGCUCACAGCAACGCUGGAUCCUUAACCCACUGAGUGAGGCCAGGGAUCGAACCCACAACCUCAUAGAUCCCAGUAAGACUCGUUUCCAUUGCACCAUGUUGGGAACUCCUGUACAAACAUUUCUAAAACACUUGUCUAGUGAUUCAACUCAGCAACUACUCACUGGGCACCAACUCUGGUCGAGGGGCCACUGGGCAUCGACUAACCAAUAAGGAGAGUGUGCGGACUGGAGGAGAAGAGACACACAAACAGCUAAUGCUCCUGCAGCCCAGCACAGCGUCAGUGCUAAGCUCUACUGUCUGGGUAUUAAAGCAUCACAAAACGCCCAGUGGCACAGGCUGAAACUGACAGCAGGUGGCUUCUUCGAUAAAGACAUCAUCGAGAGGGUCCCUGGUUCAUGUCAACCCCAUCUGAAAGUCCUUUGGGCUUUGUUUCUAAAAUCAACUUAACCCACUGAGUGAGGCCAGGGAUCAAACCCACGGCCUCGUGGUGUGAUCCCUUGCACCUGCCCACUUGUCUCUCCUUGCAUGGCCAAUAGUCCUGGUCUAGACUGAGGGCCUGGCCUCUCUCAUUGCAGCCUCUGCAACCACCUCCUAACAGUCUCCAGGCAGACCAGUCUCCUGAUCUGUUCCCCAUUCAGCAGCUGCCAUCCUUUCCAAGACACGAAUAAGAUCAUGCUACACCCAUGGUCGAAAAUUUCCAACAACUGACUUUCCACUGAUUUGGGGAUAAAAUCUCUCUCUCUCUCUCUUUUUUAACCACAAGAUCUGGUCUCUGCCCCCACCCCCACAGCAGCCUCACCUAACUCCUGCCACCUGGCUCUCCUGCUUUCCUUGAAGAUACCAAGCUCAUCCCAUGUGCAGGGGUUACAGACUCCCUUGCUCUCUGCCCAGGAGGUAUUCUCCCCAGAUCGCCACACAACCGGCUCCUCCUCAUCUGCCAAUUCUCUCCUCAAAACAUAAUCCCAGCACCCUCUUCCCUGACCUCUCGGCAGCAAAGCCCUCGCCUCAUCCUGUCCCAUGAUCUUAUUUUCCUGGGACUUCCUGAAAUUAUCUUGCUCCUUUGUGUAUUGUCUAUCUUCCCCAACUGGAAGUUUUUAUGAAAGCAUCCCUCCUAACAGCAGGGCACACAGUAGGUGCACAAUGAAUAUCUGAUGAUGGAGGAAAGUAAUCCCAUCAGAGGACCCCACUUCUCAGCUUCCACACCCUCCUCAAGACUGCAGCCUCCUCGGCUGUGAAACAGAGACCAGAGAUGCCAUGGCUUCUAUAUUCACUUCCAAAGGUGGUGUUUUGAGAUUCUAAGACAGCUCGGCCAAUGUUUUCUGCAAGCAACCAGACAGUAACUAUUUCAGGCUUUGUAGGCUAUACACUCUCUGCUGUAACUAUUCAUCUUUGCCAUCACAGCAUGAAAAACAGCCACAGACAACAUGUAACAGGUGCAUAUGGCUGCGUUCCAAUAAAACUACAGUUACAAUAACAGGUGGGUGGGACAGAGGGCUAUCAGCCCUUAUACUGAAUGACAGCACACCCUCAGGUGGUGGUGGCUUUAUCUCCCAAGCCCUUUGUCCCUUUUGUCGCUUCUGGGCUCUCAGCCCCAUUUCCUCCCUAAACCUGUUUUUCCCUUGGUUGAUGCCAUCAGGUUACACCACUCGCUGGCCCUCCUGGUUGCCACUCACCCUCAGGCUUCUUGAACCACGUGGCACCUGGUGCAAAUUCUCUCACCUCCCCCAAUGCCACUCCUGUCAAAAUUCUCUGUCAUUUCACUUCUGUGAACAGAGGCCUUCUAAUACCCUGGCCUCGCAUCUCCUCAAUGUUUUCACCUUCAUUGAUCUUGUCCUCCGCCCAACCUCAGCCACCAACUCCCACGGUUCCACCUUAGACUCCCUCAUCCUCCCCACAGCACUCAGAGGGUUCCUUUACAACACAGAUCAAGUCCUUUCUCUCCUCAAAACUCUGUACUGCUUCCCAUCCCCCUCAGCAUGAACCUCAAAGUCCUUACGUUGAUCUGGUCCAGGUAAUCUGAGUCCCAGCCAACUCUAACUUAUCUCCUAUCACUCACACUACCUCUUACUGCACUCUGCCUGUUCCAUCCUCCUUGCUGUUCCUCAAACAAGCCUGGCACUUGCCUGCCUCAGGGCCUUUGCACCUGUGGUUCUCGACAUCUGGACCACUCUUGCCCCAGAUAUCGACUUGGCUUUCUCACUUCUUUCUGGUCUGCUUACAUAUUAUCAUAUCAAAGAGGCCUUCCCUGGUCAUCGUCCCCAGAAACAGAACCUCCCCAACCCCAUCACUCUCUACUCCCCUUACCCUAUUUUUCGUCAUAGUGCUUGACACAAUCUGACAUAUUUUUAAAUAUUUUGCUGUUUGUGGAAGAGAGGUUCCGGGGGCGGGGGGUAGAGACUUGUCUUAUUCUCCUGUAGUCUUAGCACCAAGGCUGUGGUAUGCGGCACAGAGUAGAUGCUCAAUAAAACAUUUUCUGAAUUUGUUAAACCAAAUCCUUCUAGAAGCAACUCACCUUCUUUCAGUGCUGCUGCCAGUAACGAGGCCGCCUGGGGAGGCUCUCCGGGGUCCAGUUUAAUGAGGAGGUGUGGCUCUAGAUGGACAUCCUCAAAUCCACUCAGUUCUCCAAGUUCAGCGUAAAUAUGCAGUUUCUCCUCCAAAUACGCACAAAUUUGUUGGUCUUGGUUACUGAGUAUUUCUAAGAAAUAGCAUUCACCACAGAGGAUUAUUCAUAACAUGCACACAACUAAUAUGAAAAUCCAAGCCACACGAUAAAGAUGUUGCUCAUUAGCAAGCAGUAGGGUCUAACAGGUCAAGUACAAAUUGCUGGGUGGGACCGAAAGAGGUUCAAAUCCUAACCGUUCCACUUGGUGACUGUAGCUUCCAGCAAAUGACUUAACAUCUCCCAGCUCCCAUGGUCUCUUCUGUAAAUUUGGUGUACUCAAUUAAGGUUCGUUUCCUUUCCCAUUCCCCUAAUUCCAGAAAAACUGGCAAAGCCCAUCUUUGUUUAUUUGGGCUGUUUUCGAUUAAGACUAAACAUGAAGCUCAGAGAUGAAAAUUGAGGCGGCACCGUCCGCAAUGAGCAGGACCCACGAAGGGAAACACCGUGAAGGCUGGAGCGGCUCGGCCUUCAGCCAGUGCCGGUCAAAACCAAACAUGCUGAUUUACGUGUUUGUUCCUCAACAUCCAAUUUCUGUAACCAUCUUCGUCUGCAUCGUCUUCCUGGGAUUUCAACAUGUCACAGAUGUCUUUGAGCUUAAAGGGACCUUCACCAGCAGCGAAUCCAGGGGCUCUCAGUUUGCCUCGGCAUCACUGGGGAUGAGUUUAAAUCACUCAUGUCUACACCCUGUGGCCUUCAGAUUCUGGGUGCAUUGGCUUAGGGUGGGGGCCAGGCUCUGGCAUUUUUAAAGACCUCCCCAAAGGUGGCUAAUGCCAGGCCAGAGCUUAUACUCUCUGAAUUCAUCUCGUGUCCUUACGUCGCAGUUCUGGACACUGAGGACCAGACUGACUGGGUUCCUUGUCCAAAGUCAUACAACUAUGACCUGACAGCAGCAGGAUCUAAAAUCAAACCACUGGACAACAAGUCCAAUGCCUGUCUUACCAUACUGCCCACAGUUGCUGUUAUGUUAUAUGCAGAAUUUUUAAAACAUGUUUUUAAUCACUAAGGGAGAAGGAGACAGGGAGUCAUUUUAUUUGAGCACUUUUAGUGCCAGAAUUUUUUUUUUUCAAUGGCAGGGUGGACCUUGGGUGCCGAAAGUCAAUCAUUUAGUCAUAACUUCCCAUUCAUGACACCUGGGCUUUCCCAACAUCCCAUAAAAACCCCUCAAGACCAGGGAGCCAAAGGCACCGGCACUGUACCUUGACAUUGCUGAAUUUUGGCCACUCUGACUUCAGCUCUCCGCCUCUCUUCAUCUGAUUCACUUGUCUUUCCCCCUUCUUCUUCUGGGCAACUUUAAAAGACAACAGUCAAGAGAGACAACUGAAACCACAUCCAAGUAUCUUUAGGUUCAUGAGAAAGACACGGGAACUUGGCAGUAGAAUUGUUCAGAGAAGAAGAAUUCAGCAUAAAGACAAUUCCCCAUGCCCCUGGCCGAGAGAUUUGAUUUUCUUGAGUAUAUUACGGACCUUGCAUAAUAUAACAUAGGUCUCAAAGUCAGCCAUGUAGGAUGACUCAAAUAUUCCAAAAAACACAUGCACGCACAAACAUAUACACACAGUACCAAUGUCAGCAGCAGGUACAACAAAAGUCAUAAUGUUUGUUUUCUACUGCCUGUACUUCCAUUCCUUUAUUUAUUUAUUUAUUUACUUAGUCUUUUGUCUUUUUAGGGCAUCACCCACAGCAUAUGGAGCGGCCCUAGAAAAGGCAAAAAGACAAAAAAAAAAAAAAAGUAGAUAAUCAUCAUGCCAGUUGUUAACUCCUUGAAAUACUGGCCAAAUCACUUAUCUCUAGAUUAUUUUUUAAAAAUUCUGGAGGAGUUUCUGAUACAAUCUCCUGGAGGUCCAGAUGAAACUAAAUUUAGCUAUUUUUUUAAUAUUUGAUUUAAAACCCCCAGGUAGUUGAUGUUUAUUGAGGUGAAUGGAACUAAAAGGGAAAGUUUUGGGAGAUCAGAAAAAUCCUAGAAGGAGAGGAGAAAAGAAAAACAGAGCAAAUGACCUAUUCUCUAGAGUCUAGAGCAACAGAAAUAGCAGCAAAGUGGAACAAGAACAAGUCCUCCAAAGGGUCUAAAUGAUCCAGCCUCUAAAUGUUUUCAAAAGAUGCACGCUGGCUUUGUCAGGAAACCAAGGAACAGAUUGUGACACCCACUGUUAACAAGGAAGAUUUUCCCACUGCCCGUGAAAGAAUACACUUCCUUUAUUUCACUACAUUACUCCACCUGCCACCCAACUAAGCAGCUGCCCUUCCAAAAAAAAAAAAAGAAAAAAGAAAAGAAAAGAAAGGUACUUCUUUCUAAAGAGCAUAUUUCAUGUAUAGGAAAGUUGAGGAGAGAUAAUCCAAUCAAAGCUGAGUUACAAGGUGACUUAGAGUAAGGCCAGGAAAAGGCUUGGAGACUGCAGAUCUUCGGGGACAAAUUACUGUCUUAUAACAGCUUGCACAGAAUGUGCAGCAUCAGGCCCACCUGGGAGUCUCAUUAGAAAGGCUUACCUGGGGUUCUACCUCAGACCUACUGAAUCAGAGUCUUUGUGUAAACAAGGUCCCCAGGCGAAGGGUAUCAAGUUCAAGUUCGAAAGGCACCGCCACAACAGAGCCACAUGAAUUAAUGUUCCCAGAAGCCAGAGAGAGAACUGGUUGGAAAGAUCCAAGCGAACUAAGGAGAUGGCAGUCCAUUCAGCCCCUAGGACCACCCUAUCUGAGGAAGUCACACUUCUCAUUUCCAACACACAGCAGGCAAUCCGUUCAUGCAUUCUACCUGGAAUUUGGCGUGAGAUGAUUCUCAGAGGGGCACGAACUGACCUAACACCAUCUGACAGAGAGAAUAUAACUGUAACACAAACUGAAAGUCUUGAUUUUGUUUUCAUUCUUUUACUAAGAACAAAAUGAUGAGGCCUUCCCCUUUCUCUUUUUUCUUUUUUUGACUGUGCCCAUGGCAUGCAGAAGCCAAGGAUCAAACCUGAGCCACAGCAGUGACAACUCCAGAUCCCUAACUGCUGGGCCACCAAGGAACUCCAGACUUCUCUCUUUAUAUUGUGCUUAUAUAUUCUCUUAUGUUAAAUUAUAGGAAGCAAUAAAAACGAGACAUAAGGGGCGCUCCCGUCGUGGCUCAGUGGUUAACAAACCCAACUAGGAACCAUGAGGUUUCGGGUUCCAUCCCUGGCCUUGCUCAGUAGAUUAAGGAUCCGGCAUUGCCAUGAGCUGUGGUGUAGGUCGCAGA